RNAcentral lists this ribosomal RNA (474 nucleotides) under uncultured bacterium. Its description in RNAcentral is "bacterial SSU rRNA". It matches the Rfam family "Bacterial small subunit ribosomal RNA", at positions 28 to 503 of the family's 1533-position model. The record is from RNAcentral.
GAUGAACGCUAGCGGCAGGCUUAACACAUGCAAGUCGAGGGGUAUUGGUUUUCGGACCAAGAGACCGGCGCACGGGUGCGUAACGCGUAUGCAAUCUACCUUUUGCAGAGGGAUAGCCCAGAGAAAUUUGGAUUAAUACCUCAUAGUAUAGUACUUUGGCAUCAAGGAACUAUUAAAGUCACAACGGCAAAAGAUGAGCAUGCGUCCCAUUAGCUAGUUGGUAAGGUAACGGCUUACCAAGGCUACGAUGGGUAGGGGUCCUGAGAGGGAGAUCCCCCACACUGGUACUGAGACACGGACCAGACUCCUACGGGAGGCAGCAGUGAGGAAUAUUGGACAAUGGGCGCAAGCCUGAUCCAGCCAUGCCGCGUGCAGGAUGACGGUCCUAUGGAUUGUAAACUGCUUUUANACAGGAAGAAACACUACUUCGUGAAGUAGCUUGACGGUACUGUAAGAAUAAGGAUCGGCUAAACU